This is a long non-coding RNA of Lepisosteus oculatus (spotted gar), 2539 nucleotides long. The record is from Ensembl. Lineage: Eukaryota; Metazoa; Chordata; Actinopteri; Semionotiformes; Lepisosteidae.
GUUAAUUUUUAUUAUCAAAAAAACAAAAUCAGUCAUAACAUCACAAUGCUUUAAGGGUCAUGAGCACCUCAUAGAACACAGCAAGAAGUAAAACUCUUCAAAGUACUUUAACUUGUAAUGACAAAAUAUUAAAAAAAUACUCUGUUCUGAUGUCACUGGUUUUAAGUGCUGUGUUGUCCAUUUUUGUUUUUUUAAAACAAGUUUAGUCUUGAGAAGCUACGCGCCUCUCUGGUUCCAGAAACUGGCAAACUUUAAAAGAGUUAAAAGUUCACAGAGCUCCGGAGAUGUCUGGAGAACGGUCCGAGAGAUCACGUUCACAGACCUCAGCACCUCUUCGGAAGUGUAGUGGUUCUUGAAGUCGCAUCAAAGAGCCGAAGAGUUCAUUACGCCAAUUAGCAGCGUUUGAUCCGAGAGUUGCUCUCGACACAUUUUAUACACAUAUCACGUCCACAGCUAAAUAGCGACUCCAGCUCCGAGAUCUGUCCAGAUCUUUCCUCAGCAGCCUCCAUCACAGAAGGAAGACGAAGUCCCCUUGUUUCAGGGCUCUGAAUGAGUGACCUCAUGUAUUACAGGACCACCAGUUCGAACAAAGCAAAGGGCGUAAUUAUCCAGCCCCCCCCUCUAGCUGAGGUUUAAUAACACUUAAGGAUUCUCACAUUUUUGGAUUUAUAAGGCUGAAAGAUGCGAUUUUUUUCUUCUUUGGCACCAAGAAAUGAUUGCCCACAAUUCUCUGCUAUCUGCUACCCAUCUACAUUCAAGGGUGAAGGCAGCAGCUAUAAUAGAGACAAAAAUCCUCACAGGUCUUCAACCCUGGUCCUGAAGAACCUCAACCCAGUUCGCGAAGUCUGUGACCUCUGGUCCAGUCAGUCCAGGAGGUCUGUGACCUCUGGUCCAGUCAGUCCAGGGGGUCUGUGUCCCUGGCCCAGUCAGUCCAGGGGGUCUGUGUCCCUGGCCCAGUCAGUCCAGGGGGUCUGUGUCCCUAUGUGACCCUGUGUAUAUUUUGUUGCCUGCUGAGACACACCUGUUUCUCGUUGCUUUUCGGGAAUAAGCCCUUUCCACCCGCGGGUCAGCUGGUUUCUCUCGGCGGCCAUCUUGGUCAGGUCUACAUCAAGUAUAUUGAGCAGAUCAGAUCGUUCCCGAAAUAUCGGUCCUCGAUGACCCUUCCCCUGGCCCUCUUACACAGCUCAUCAACAACAAUCUUCGAUCGCUAAUCGCUAAGCACGAUUCCACCUGAGUAGUUGGCAACGGCUCCGUUUCAACCGAAGUACCCCCUCGGAAUUUCAGGUUUUUCUCCCCCUGUCUCCCAUGUAAGAGACUAACAUGCUUCAUGCGUCUUGUUUAGUUCCAGACUGGGCCAAAAACACCCCCCCCCCCCGUCAUAAACAGCGUCAGAGGGCCGCUUCACCUCGCCAGAAGUCUCGCUGUCUCGUUCCGCAUCGCAGGGGCAAACCUGGACAUGUUGUCCAUUUUUGUGAUGGGACACUGCGACGUGCAAAAACCUUCAAUUGACAUUUUGGUUUUGAAAUGCACUCGUCGUCGCCGAGUGCUCUUCCUAACCCCAAACCAGAGCUUCUCUCUCUUCUUCAUAGUAAUACAUAAUAUGCCGUCUGUUAUAUCAGUGCUAGAUUAGUUUUAGAACUACCUGGAGGCGUUAGACAGGGCUGUGCGAAAUAUGCAGGAACAACACAGCUGCACUUAUGGUGAAAAGCGCCUAAUUCUACUUAACGUUCCUGAUAUAGUGCUGCAGACGAGAUCAGACCACUUUCUUGGCCCUAUACAAUGUCUUGCAUGAGGAAUCGGUCUUGUCGCAGACCCCAGCUGGCUCUCCAGGAGACACACAGACAGGGAGAGAGAGAAGCUGGGGGUGAGAGCGCAGGGGCAGACAUUGUACAGCGCCACCUGGAUCAGCUGGGGUUCAGGGCCUCGCUCAGGGGGGCCCCAACAGAGUAGGAUUCCUCUGCCGGCCGCGGGAUUUGAACCGGCAAACCCCUCCCAGCCCCAGGCGCAGAUCCUGAGCCACAGCUCCACCCCGGUUUAGCCUAUCUCGAGCCACUAGACAACUAUACGUCCUACGCUCUCCAAUCUACAACUUUCCCGGCUACACCACUCCUCUGGAACUGGGGCUCCGGAUCUCCCAGAGGCUGUGCCGGUCUGAGAACACCGCUGCCAUCCUCACCGAAGCCCACCAGCGCCUUCGCAUCCUGCGCCGGUUCAGGAAGUGGGGGAUGAGCAAGUCAACACUCACCAGUUUUUACCGUAGUACCACUGCGAGUGUCCUGACCGGUGGUAUUAUGGUGUGGUAUGGCAGUUACCACACAGCUAACUGCCCCCGAGUGCCCAGACACCUACCACACAGGUAACUGCCCCCGAGUGCCCAGACACCUACCACACAGGUAACUGCCCCCGCGUGCCCAGACACCUACCACACAGGUAACUGCCCCCGCGUGCCCAGACACCUACCACACAGGUAACUGCCCCCGAGUGCCCAGACACCUACCACACAGGUAACUGCCCCCGAGUGCCCAGACACCUACCACAC